RNAcentral lists this ribosomal RNA (460 nucleotides) under uncultured bacterium. RNAcentral describes it as "partial 16S ribosomal RNA". It matches the Rfam family "Bacterial small subunit ribosomal RNA", at positions 338 to 795 of the family's 1533-position model. The record is from RNAcentral.
CCUACGGGAGGCAGCAGUGAGGAAUAUUGGUCAAUGGCCGUAAGGCUGAACCAGCCAAGUAGCGUGAGGGAAGACUGCCCUAUGGGUUGUAAACCUCUUUUAUGCGGGGAUAAAGGUGUCCACGUGUGGAUGUUUGCAGGUACCGCAUGAAUAAGGACCGGCUAAUUCCGUGCCAGCAGCCGCGGUAAUACGGAAGGUCCGGGCGUUAUCCGGAUUUAUUGGGUUUAAAGGGAGCGUAGGCCGGUCUUUAGGCGUGCCGGGAAAUUUUGUGGCUCAACCAUGAGAGUGCGGCGCGAACUGGAGACCUUGAGUGCGCGGAAGGCAGGCGGAAUUCGUGGUGUAGCGGUGAAAUGCUUAGAUAUCACGAAGAACCCAGAUUGCGAAGGUAGCCUGCCGCAGCGUUACUGACGCUGAAGCUCGAAAGCGCGGGUAUCGAACAGGAUUAGAUACCCUUGUAGUC